This 465-nucleotide ribosomal RNA is filed under the name uncultured bacterium. RNAcentral describes it as "partial 16S ribosomal RNA". It matches the Rfam family "Bacterial small subunit ribosomal RNA", at positions 28 to 507 of the family's 1533-position model. The record is from RNAcentral.
GACGAACGCUGGCGGCGUGCUUAACACAUGCAAGUCGUACGGUAAGGCCCUUUCGGGGGUACACGAGUGGCGAACGGGUGAGUAACACGUGAGUAACCUGCCCACAACUUUGGGAUAACGCUAGGAAACUGGUGCUAAUACUGGAUAUGUGCUCCUGCUGCAUGGUGGGGGUUGGAAAGCUCCGGCGGUUGUGGAUGGACUCGCGGCCUAUCAGCUUGUUGGUGGGGUAGUGGCCUACCAAGGCGGCGACGGGUAGCCGGCCUGAGAGGGUGACCGGCCACAUUGGGACUGAGAUACGGCCCAGACUCCUAAGGGAGGCAGCAGUGGGGAAUAUUGCACAAUGGGCGCAAGCCUGAUGCAGCAACGCCGCGUGCGGGAUGACGGCCUUCGGGUUGUAAACCGCUUUCAGCAGGGACGAAGCUUUUUGUGACGGUACCUGCAGAAGAAGCACCGGCUAACUACGUG